Molecule: ribosomal RNA, 301 nt
Filed under: uncultured bacterium
Lineage: Bacteria
Description: partial 16S ribosomal RNA
Rfam family: Bacterial small subunit ribosomal RNA
Source: RNAcentral
CAGCAGCCGCGGUAAUACAGAGGGUGCGAGCGUUAAUCGGAUUUACUGGGCGUAAAGCGUGCGUAGGCGGCUUUUUAAGUCGGAUGUGAAAUCCCUGAGCUUAACUUAGGAAUUGCAUUCGAUACUGGGAAGCUAGAGUAUGGGAGAGGAUGGUAGAAUUCCAGGUGUAGCGGUGAAAUGCGUAGAGAUCUGGAGGAAUACCGAUGGCGAAGGCAGCCAUCUGGCCUAAUACUGACGCUGAGGUACGAAAGCAUGGGGAGCAAACAGGAUUAGAUACCUGCGUAGUCCCUGUCUCUUAUAC